This 233-nucleotide ribosomal RNA is filed under the name uncultured bacterium. RNAcentral describes it as "partial 16S ribosomal RNA". It matches the Rfam family "Bacterial small subunit ribosomal RNA", at positions 15 to 237 of the family's 1533-position model. The record is from RNAcentral.
GAUCCUGGCUCAGGAUGAACGCUAGCUACAGGCUUAACACAUGCAAGUCGAGGGGCAGCAUGGUCUUAGCUUGCUAAGGCUGAUGGCGACCGGCGCACGGGUGGGUAACACGUAUCCAACCUGCCGUCUACUCUUGGCCAGCCUUCCGAAAGGAAGAUUAAUCCAGGAUGGGAUCAUGAGUUCACAUGUCCGCAUGAUUAAAGGUAUUUUCCGGUAGACGAUGGGGAUGCGUU